GAGUUUGAUCCUGGCUCAGAUUGAACGCUGGCGGCAUGCCUUACACAUGCAAGUCGAACGGCAGCACGGGUGCUUGCACCUGGUGGCGAGUGGCGAACGGGUGAGUAAUACAUCGGAACAUGUCCUGUAGUGGGGGAUAGCCCGGCGAAAGCCGGAUUAAUACCGCAUACGAUCUACGGAUGAAAGCGGGGGACCUUCGGGCCUCGCGCUAUAGGGUUGGCCGAUGGCUGAUUAGCUAGUUGGUGGGGUAAAGGCCCACCAAGGCGACGAUCAGUAGCUGGUCUGAGAGGACGACCAGCCACACUAGGACUGAGACACGGCCCAGACUCCUACGGGAGGCAGCAGUGGGGAAUUUUGGACAAUGGGCGAAAGCCUGAUCCAGCAAUGCCGCGUGUGUGAAGAAGGCCUUCGGGUUGUAAAGCACUUUUGUCCGGAAAGAAAUCCUUGGCUCUAAUACAGUCGGGGGAUGACGGUACCGGAAGAAUAAGCACCGGCUAACUACGUGCCAGCAGCCGCGGUAAUACGUAAGGUGCGAGCGUUAAUCGGAAUUACUGGGCGUAAAGGGGGGGCAGGCGGUUUGCUAAAACCGAUGUGAAAUCCCCGGGGUUAACCUGGAACUGCAUUGGUGACUGGCAGGCUAAAGUAUGGCAGAGGGGGGUAGAAUUCCACGUGUAGCAGUGAAAUGCGUAGAGAUGUGGAGGAAUACCGAUGGCGAGGGCAGCCCCCUGGGCCAAUACUGACGCUCAUGCACGAAAGCGUGGGGAGCAAACAGGAUUAGAUACCCUGGUAGUCCACGCCCUAAACGAUGUCAACUAGUUGUUGGGGAUUCAUUUCCUUAGUAACGUAGCUAACGCGUGAAGUUGACCGCCUGGGGAGUACGGUCGCAAGAUUAAAACUCAAAGGAAUUGACGGGGACCCGCACAAGCGGUGGAUGAUGUGGAUUAAUUCGAUGCAACGCGAAAAACCUUACCUACCCUUGACAUGGUCGGAAUCCUGCUGAGAGGCGGGAGUGCUCGAAAGAGAACCGGCGCACAGGUGCUGCAUGGCUGUCGUCAGCUCGUGUCGUGAGAUGUUGGGUUAAGUCCCGCAACGAGCGCAACCCUUGUCCUUAGUUGCUACGCAAGAGCACUCUAAGGAGACUGCCGGUGACAAACCGGAGGAAGGUGGGGAUGACGUCAAGUCCUCAUGGCCCUUAUGGGUAGGGCUACACACGUCAUACAAUGGCUGGAGCAAAGGGCUGCCAACCCGCAAGGGGGAGCUAAUCCUAUAAACCCAGUCGUAGUCCGGACUGCACUCUGCAACUCGAGUGCAUGAAGUCGGAAUCGCUAGUAAUCGUGGAUCAGCAUGUCACGGUGAAUACGUUCCCGGGUCUUGUACACACCGCCCGUCACACCAUGGGAGCGGGUUUUGCCAGAAGUAGUUAGCCUAACCGCAAGGAGGGCGAUUACCACGGCAGGGUUCGUGACUGGGGUGAAGUAGUAACAAGGUA
This 1489-nucleotide ribosomal RNA is filed under the name uncultured beta proteobacterium. Its description in RNAcentral is "16S ribosomal RNA". It matches the Rfam family "Bacterial small subunit ribosomal RNA". Lineage: Bacteria; Pseudomonadati; Pseudomonadota; Betaproteobacteria. The record is from RNAcentral.